ACUCUUGCUGCAAACAUUGGGAUCAGCCGUGACUAUCCCAUAACAUAAUAUUUCUGAUUUCAUUCUUUUCCUUUCUCCUACCAAUUUAAUCUGCAAUCACUUCAAGAGAAGUCUGUUUAAAGGAUAUUCACAUUCUGUUCACAGAGUUUGAGAGAAACUGUAUUCAAGUUGCUGAAACCAAGAAGCUACACUCACGAGUCUCACCUAAACUCGAAUCUGAUUUAGAUGACAUCAUCCUGGACUUUGAGUUGAUGAAACCUUGGAGGUCUUGGGAGUAAAGCAAGUGUGAUUUGCAUAUGAUGGAUAUGAAUUGUAAUGGCCAGAGCAUGGCUGUGAGAUGAAAACUCCCAUUUUAGGGAACCAAGACUGAAUUCCAUAAUUUACAUGGAUGUUUGGAAGGUGUCUGCAACUUAAUCUGUGUUCGUUUCUGAGAUGUUGGGCAACUCCUUCUUGGAAGAUGUGGUAAUGGUCUCUUCGAAAAGAAAAUAAUCAUCUGAGUUUUGGCCAAAAUAGUUGAUCGGAUUACCUAUGAAAAUGACUCUCACCCAACUACAAGAAU
Molecule: long non-coding RNA, 559 nt
Filed under: Homo sapiens (human)
Lineage: Eukaryota; Metazoa; Chordata; Mammalia; Primates; Hominidae
Description: HSALNT0349458
Source: RNAcentral